RNAcentral lists this unclassified non-coding RNA (285 nucleotides) under plant metagenome. RNAcentral's name for it is "partial contains small subunit ribosomal RNA and internal transcribed spacer 1". The stretch from base 1 to 54 matches the Rfam family "Eukaryotic small subunit ribosomal RNA", at positions 1778 to 1831 of the family's 1831-position model. The record is from RNAcentral.
GGAAGUAAAAGUCGUAACAAGAUUUCCGUAGGUGAACCUGCGGAAGGAUCAUUAUUGUAUAACCGAGGUGCGAGGGCUGUCGCUGACCCGAAAGGUCGUGCACGCCCGAGAGCCCUCACACACAUCCAUCUCACCCCUAUGUGCACCACCGCGUGGGUCCCCCUUUGGCUUGUUCGGAGGGGGGCUUACGUUUUCACACAAACUUUGUAUGCAGUGUAGAAUGUAUAUUUUGUUUUUGCGAUCACGCAAUCAAUACAACUUUCAACAACGGAUCUCUCGGCUCUC